This 7025-nucleotide long non-coding RNA is filed under the name Erythranthe guttata (spotted monkey flower). RNAcentral describes it as "long non-coding RNA (EGUT_LNC001240)". Lineage: Eukaryota; Viridiplantae; Streptophyta; Magnoliopsida; Lamiales; Phrymaceae. The record is from RNAcentral.
UGGAACCCUAGUUAAAAGCCAUGAAUUUCUUCGAACUAAAACAAUCCUAUGAAGAGAACCCCCUUCAUCAUGUAUUCAGUAAUCUCCACUUUCUUCGGAUCCCUAACCCAAACCCAAACCCAAACCCAAACCCGUUUUCUUCCAAACUUCCAUCACAGGAAAGAACUGUCGAUCAAUUAGAUAACAUGAAAAUCGAUUCUUCUUCUUCUUCUUCAAACUUGUCGGUGAUCAAAGAGCGACUGAAAGAGGUUCCGGUUUAUAGAUUGAAAUCAAAUCGUAGGCUUUCACUUGUACGUUCUCACGUGACAGAUAGGAGGGCUGGUUUAUUCUUUUUCAGUGAAGCUGAUGCUCAGGAUUCAGCGGCGGAUUACAACACAGUAGAAUUCAACAGAAAGCGAGGUGGCCUUCAAACGCUUAAGGUUCCACUUGCCGAGGUAUUGAUUAAUAUUCCAGAAAUUAUUUUUAUCAAAUUUGUUCGAUUUUCAAGACUUGUUUGUAACUAUAUAGUAAAUAUUGCAUACAUACACAGAUUAUUGAACUUGAAGAAUUAGGGUUCAAUAAGGCAAUGCCAUCUAUAUGUCAUUGGUUUGUGGCAGAAUUUUUACCCAUGUAUGCUCCAGCUAUGGUUAAUAGGUUUGUGGAAGAUAAGGUUGCCGAUCCACAUGUUUAUAUUAGGUUGGUCCCGGAUAUAUCUGAAGUUAAAAAUGCCCUUCAGGUCAGCACCAAAUAUUCAACUACGAACAUACAAAUACGCACACACACACACACACAAGCACGCAUGGCAUGUUUCUGUUGAAUUUGGUUGAUAACUAAGAUGGAUUUUAUUUUAUUUAUUCCCUACAGGAAAGAAAGAAAGCUGGUUUUCAUGGUGACACCUUUACUGGGGUUCCCGUCUUCCAGGUUCAGUUUACUAAAUGAGUCAUUUGCUCUUUUAUUCCAUAUUUUCCGUCACUUUUAAAUUUUCGAUACAUUCUUAUCUGAAAUAGCUUUUAGAUAAUAUCGUCGUAUUCUAACCCUAGCUGAACAUAUAUACACACACACACACACACACACACACAAAAAAAAAGGUUUAAUAGUAAUUGAGUCUCGUAUAUGAUGGGAUGCAGUCAGAUGCUUUAAAGGUGAGAGUCGAUGGAAGCCCAAAUAACCUUUCGCAUGCUUUCUUUCGAAAGGUAAAUUAGUAUAUAUAUUCUAGUGCCAUAUGUAUUUUCAUAUUUGUAUUAUAUAAUCGCCCAUCUUCCUUUUAUAAUGUGCAGGCGGACCUAGAAAACGCUCUACGUGGCAAAAAACAAACAGAUCACAUUGAUGAAAAAUCAGAUAUUAUUCAGGUUCCAAGUUCAUCUCAAUUAAAAUGUUGCAUGGGGUUUAAUCUUAAUACACCUAUAAUUAACGUAACUCAUCAUGUUUGAAAAGCUCUAUCCACUAAAUCUCGCUCGAGGUUUGAUUGCGAUUAUAGACUAACUAUAGUUACAAUACACUGUGUUUGUGUUGUAGGUGACUGCUCUUGAAGAUAUAAUACAAGAAAUGAAGGUGAGAAAACUUUCGCUGUUUUUCUUUCCCUUUCUCUUCCAUUCGACCGUCUAAUUAUGUAUUUCAUGAACAAGGUUAUCUCAUAGUAACUAAGCAAAUUGAGCAAAAGUAAUGAUAUAUAUUUUUUUACUUUGGCAGGAUUGCUCAACGUCCAAGUGGAACAAUGUUAUCCUCGUACCUCCCGGUGGAAAAUCCUCGUAAAUUUUUAUGUACAAUUCAAUACUGGAACAACUUAGUAUAUGUUUUUCUACUAAUUUUAUCUCAAUAUUGAAUUGUUGGUGUUAUGAGUUAUUACAUGAAUUUAUUUAUCCCUCUUAAUAUUAAGUUUCAACUACAAGAAUGAAUUUGGACACGUGAAGUAGUAGUAAUUUAUACUAUUUUUUUUUUUAGUAAAUUCAAGUCCAUUACAAGGGGUAGAGGGUAGUAGGGGAGGGUAGGGGUGAGCAAGUCGGACCCAUCAACCCGCUACACCCGUCAAACCCGUGAAAAACCGCCCCGUUGGGACCGGACGUAUAGAUCCAUCCAUAGGAUUGGGUCCUAAAAUGGUGAAGAACCGUGGGUUUGGGUCUUAGACGGGUUCAAUUUUUUUUAAUACCCGUGAAACCCGUCCCGCCCCGCCAUACAAAACGACGUCGUUUUAUUUACAUUAUAUAGUAUAAUAAAUUAAUAAUAUUAAUGAAUAAAUAAAGUAUCUCUAGUGUAUCAAAUACAUAAAUCAACUAAACUAUAAUUGUGGAAGUAAUAGCUAUAAAGAUUAUGAAAAUCUCUAAGAAAAUGUAGGAAAAAAAGCAUAUAUAUACAACGGUCAACACACGGCAGAAAAAAAGGAAGAAAAUGGUGUUGAAUGGAGCUGAAUAGCGUUGGUUAUGCUUGAAAAAACUAUAUUUAUUUUAUUUAAAUUUUGUCUUUUUAAGUUAUGAAUUAGUUAUUUUUAGUUUUAUAUUAAUUUUUAUUUACUCUUGACAUUUACUUUAUUUAUGUUUGGUUUCAAUUUAAAAUUUUAGGUUAUUCAUUUUAGUUUCUAAUUAUUCUCCCGUAAAACUUAUAAAUUAUAUAUAUAAAAAAAAUAGUUUAGACGAUAACGGGUUUCGACCCGUAAAGGUUGGGUCCUACUACAAACCCGCCAUGGACCCGCCUAUCAUAAACCCGUUAAAAACCCACAAGUUUGGUUCUUCAAAAUCAAGGGCGGGUUUUGAUAGAACCCGCGGGUUUAUGACCUGCGCACACCCCUAGGGGAGGGGGACUCGAACCCUAUUGGUAAAUGCUAGAUACCAACUCUGAUAAUGAGGGUUGGUUGGUAAUUUAUACUUCUAAUUUAACUUUUUUUAAAAGGUUGAAAGGGUUAUCAAACUUUUUCAUCUCACAACCCCCUAAAUGAAUAGUUUUGGCCUUUUGGGGGUAAUUUUCUGAAAAAAAAACUGCAACAUAGGAGAAUAUUUGGUAAUAUUAAUAGUGUGAGGUACUUUUAAUAAUUAGAGUAAACUUAGGGGUGCUAAAUGCAAUAAACACACACAAGUACAUUUAUUGGGCUGAAUGAGAAAUACUUGGCCCAGUGAGCUGAAUAAUUAGCAGGCCCGCCUUUCCUAUACACAGUGGUAUCAUUCUUUCAAAAUUUCAAUAAAUAAUAAAAAGAAUCAAAUUAAUUAUCAAAAAAAAAAAAAAAAAAAAAAUCAAAUUGCAGUGGGCAAAUCCCUAACAAUUAGGCUAAAAUAAAAAUUCCAGAACUCGGUGGGAAAUUGCAAUGGAUACUCUUUUUUUUUUUUUUUUUUUUUAAUCUUUUUCUUGACGGAGGAGUUCUCGAAUUACCCAGCUCAUUCAAUGCUUCUUCCGAGGAAAACGACCGGAGAAAAAACCGAUCAAGCAAAACCCCCAAUCUUCAUCAAAAUUUUCAGCAUCAGCCUCCUCAAAUUCAAAAAUUCCCCCCUCCGUAUGGAUCUCUUCCACCAUCGCAGGACUUCGAUUGCGUUUGAAGAGGUCAAACCACGGAGUAUUAGCUACUUUCCCAAACUUUCCAGCACCACAACUUCUUUGAGGUAUUUUCUCGAACACAUUGUUUGCAUCAUUUCACCUUCUGUAGCUAUUUCAGGUUGCGAUCGAUAACAGCUAGUGUGUGCGCUUGUUAGUUUAUUGGUGUGUGUGUGUGUGUGUGUGUGUGUGGAUGAAGGGAUAAACCAAGCACACAAAAACAUACAUAGCAACAGUGAACUUUACAGCAUUGCGAUUCUCGUAUAUAACCGUAUUUCGUUUUCAUCUUUACAAUAGAACUUAUUUGCUGAUAUUUUGGCAUGCUAACAUAUAGCUACUUUCUUUACCGAUUACCGAAACUAAUGAGAAAUUCAAUCAUUUUGAUAGGAAAGGAGAAAGUCUUCGUCUACUGCCAUUGCAUCCGACCAGUCGAGUGUAUAAUACUCAUCCAUCAUGCUGUUGAUAGAACACACAAAUGUAGUUCCUUAUGAUCAGGUAAUGAUAAAUAGAAGAAUCAUGCUUUUCUUAUUAUGUAAAAUAAUUCAUUUUGCUCGACAGGUAAUAAAAUGGGGAAAUCAUUAUAUUAUACACAUUCUAUGAAACCAAAAAACAGACAACUUUGAAACUCUAUCUAACUAGCUAGUUUAGUUGUCCUUCUUCAAAAAAUAUGUCCAUGCCCAUGAUGUUACCCGGAGGUACGAAAACGACAUCAUUCCACUUGAAUGUUGAGCAAUCCUGCAAAAUAUAUAUGACAAUCAACAGUUGAUGGGCACGGAAAUGCAAUAAACGACUAGAUAUUUUUGUUAAGGCCUUCUCACCUUCAUUUCUUGUAUUAUAUCUUCGAGAGCAGCAACCUAGUUACGGGCAUAUGAAUAUACAUAUUUAUCAGGAUAUUUAGUCGAGCCAAACGUGGCCAUAGUAAUAACAACAUUAUCAGAAUUAAGAAAACCUGAACAGUGCCUCUUUGCUUUGGUGCUUUAGUCUUAGCUGAAUUACUUAUAAUAAAAUUAUCGAAAAUAUUCUGUAUUUACUGUUAUUAGCAAAUGAUUUAUUUGUUUGAUUAUAUGAAGAGUAAUGUUAUGUUGAAAUUUUUUCUUGGAUGACAUUCAUGAUUCAUACACAUUUUCUGAUUUCUGCCAAAAUUGGUUUCUGCAAGUGAUGAUUGCAAAAUCAAGGUGUGGAAUUAUAAAUUGCUUUUAUUUUAUUUUGAAAUGGUUUCUUCUGGGCAAUAUUUCAAACACUUGGUCUACAGCCGUUUAUUGCAUCCAACCAAUCGGGUGUAUGAUGCUUAUAAUCCACCAUGCUGUUGAUACAACACAUAAAUGCAGUUUCCUUUUCCCUAAUCAGGUAUUUUAUUGCAUCGUGUUUGGUAGUUUCAAAACAGGGAAAACAUUAUUAUAUGCAAUUCUAUGAUACGAGAACACAGACAACUAUGAAACUCUAUCCAACUAGCUAGAUUAAUUACUUGUCCUCCUUCUCAAACACCAUGUCCAUGAUUUUACCAGGAGCUACAAAUACGGCAUCGUUCCACUUCGAUGUUGAGCAAUCCUGCAAUAUAUAUAAUAUAUAUGUAUGUAUGAAUCGACACUUGAUAGGCACAUAAAUUCGUUAAAUGACGAAAACAUUUAAAGCUUCUCACCUUCAUUUCUUGUAUUAUAUCUUCCAGAGCUGCAACCUAAUGUGCAUAUGGGUUAGGAAUAUGUAUAUGUGUGUGUGUAUGUGUGUGUGUGUGUGUGUGUGUGUGUGUGUGUGUAUAAGAGGAAUAUAACAGUAUGUGAAUUAAAAACCUGAAUAGUGCCUCUUUGCUUUGGUGCUUUAGCAUUAGCUAGAGCCUUUUCGAGGUCCGUCUGCAUAAUUUAUAACACAACACAGAUUGAAUGUCAAUGUAUUAAUGUAGAAAUAUAUAAUAUUAAAAGAGAAUAAAGUGAAGUAUAGUUUUUGCCCUUUCUCUUACCUUCCUUAAAAAAGCAGGACGAUAUUUCUGCUCCCCCUCGCCUUUAACUAUCAAGCUGUCUGACUGAAUCAAUUUAUGAAAUCAAUUAUCAGUUUGUAUGCAUGUCUGAAAAAAAGGUAGGGAGGUGAUCUUCGUUUUUUUAAGACAUUAAUUUCUCUUCUAUAUCAGAUAUUUGAAGAUAUAAAAAAUGGGGGGAAAAACCGAGGAUCGUUUAGAAAGUAGAACCUGGAAUACUGGAACUCCAGCAAAUACCCCAUCUGAAAAACCCGCAAUAUGUUUCUUCUUUUCCUGUGCAUAUUUGAUAUGAAGAAAUAAUAGUAAAAUCUAAAAAAGAAAUACAUUAUUACUAGUAGAAGUGAUUCCACACCUGUAUGGCGUUUUUUACUUCGGAUAACUCUGGUAUCAACCUUAUGGGAGCGGGGUCUCCUUCAAAAUCGAUGACCUAUAAUUCAAAUAAGUGAAUCGAUCAAUUAUGAGAAUUGGCAAAUUGCGUAAUAUGCAUGAGUAGUCGUAAUCUUGUGUAAUGAUUCUGCAGGUGUACACACCUCUGUAAGUCGAGCAUCAAAGAUUCGAGCGUCGGGCGAGCAUUCAAUCCUCUCCUUAAAAUUGAGAGCAUCUGGCUUAUUUAAGAAGUAGAAUCCAAUCUUUCUAUCCCCAAAUUCAGAAAUACCUUUUAUAUUAUCUUGUGAAUCGUUUGACAGUUUAUAUACAGGGAUCUCAGCCAAGCGGUUCUUGAUUUCUGUGUUAGAGAGUGCGUAAUCAGCCGCACCACCACCACCGCCACCACUAAUUGGUCGACUAUUAUCUGAAGAAGAAGAAAUAGAAGCAAACCGGUUCGGCAUCGCUCGAGUAAUGUUGGAGAAGUUGGUUUGGAGGCAGUUCAAGACAUGACAAAGAGGAGGUUGCGAAGAUUGCUCUUUUGGCUUCAAGCAGUUCAUCUUUCUUCUCUGUUCCCAAAAAAACAAAACCUAUACAUAAUAUACGCACAUAUAUUUAUAUUAUAUAAUAUAUAAUUGUUGUAUUUUUUUUAAUUGAGAAUUGUGCUUAUUUGUAGGGUUGGAAAGAAGUCCAAAUCAAGUACGUGCAGAAUCCCUGGUAUGAUUUACUUCUGUUGAAUAUGGCCUUUUACUUGGAAGGUGGUAUUUAAGUCCUAAAAAAGAUUUCAAUUAUAUAUAUAUAUAUAUAUAUAUAUAUAUAUAUAUAUAUAUAUAUAUAUAUUAACUGAAAUAUUUGGUUACUGUCUCUUGAAACAUCAAAAUAAUUGGAACCCUAGUUAAAAGCCAUGAAUUUCUUCAAACUUAAACAAUCCUCCGAUGAAGAGAACCCCCUUCAUCAUGUAUUCAGUAAUCUCCAAACCCACUUCACCAACUUUCUUCGGAUCCCUAACCCAAACCCAAACCCAAACCCGUUUUCUUCCAAACUUCCAUCACAGGCAAGAACUGUCGAUCAAUUAGAUAACAUGAAAAUCGAUUCUUCUUCUUCUUCAAACUUGUCGGUGAUCAAAGAGCGACUGAAAGAUGUCCCAGUUUAUAGAUUGAAAUCCAAUCAUAGGCAUCCACUUGCACGUUCUGACGUG